UCCGAUUUGUCACCGGCAGUCCCCCUAGAGUUCCCGACUUGACUCGCUGGCAACUAACAACAGGGGUUGCGCUCGUUAUAGGACUUAACCUGACACCUCACGGCACGAGCUGACGACAACCAUGCAGCACCUUGUAAAUUGCCCGAAGGAAAAACCGUUUCCGGUCCUGUCAAUCUACAUUUAAGCCUUGGUAAGGUUCCUCGCGUAUCAUCGAAUUAAACCACAUGCUCCACCGCUUGUGCGGGCCCCCGUCAAUUCCUUUGAGUUUCAGGCUUGCGCCCGUACUCCCCAGGUGGGAUACUUAUCACUUUCGCUUAGCCACUGAGCUUGCGCCCAACAGCUAGUAUCCAUCGUUUACGGCGUGGACUAC
RNAcentral lists this unclassified non-coding RNA (370 nucleotides) under uncultured Flavobacteriaceae bacterium. Its description in RNAcentral is "contains 16S-23S intergenic spacer region". Lineage: Bacteria; Pseudomonadati; Bacteroidota; Flavobacteriia; Flavobacteriales; Flavobacteriaceae. The record is from RNAcentral.